UAACCUGCCCAAGAGAUCGGGAUAACACCUGGAAACAGAUGCUAAUACCGGAUAACAACAGAUGAUGCCUAUCAACUGUUUAAAAGAUGGUUCUGCUAUCACUCUUGGAUGGACCUGCGGUGCAUUAGCUAGUUGGUAGGGUAAUGGCCUACCAAGGCGAUGAUGCAUAGCCGAGUUGAGAGACUGAUCGGCCACAUUGGGACUGAGACACGGCCCAAACUCCUACGGGAGGCAGCAGGA
Molecule: ribosomal RNA, 240 nt
Filed under: uncultured Lactobacillus sp.
Lineage: Bacteria; Bacillati; Bacillota; Bacilli; Lactobacillales; Lactobacillaceae
Description: partial 16S ribosomal RNA
Rfam family: Bacterial small subunit ribosomal RNA
Source: RNAcentral